This is a long non-coding RNA of Bubalus bubalis (water buffalo), 1243 nucleotides long. RefSeq lists it as uncharacterized. The transcript is spliced from 5 exons. NCBI's taxonomy places the organism in Eukaryota, Metazoa, Chordata, Mammalia, Artiodactyla, Bovidae. The record is from RefSeq and is a predicted model, not a curated record.
CGCUUGCGUUUGGACUGAGUUACUUUAGCGUUAACCAGAAUCCUUUUCUAGUCCCGUAGUCUAAGCCAAUGGCUGAGUGGCGGGGGAGGGUGUAAGGUGACUGACCUCACCCUAGGCAAAUGACAAUGAAGGAAAUGGAGGUGCCCCGUUUUGGUGGGAGCUAGUGGAAGCGCCGCUGCAUUGGGGCGGAGCCAGCCACCAGAAGCCGGGAGGGGAUUAGCCGGAACCGGAUUGAAUGGCAGCCGACGUGGGCAUUGGCCACCGGCUGCAGGAAUUCAAGCCUGACGUCUGGGUUAGAGUCCCCGGAGGCCGGCCGGGGAUCUAGAGUCCUUACUUCUCUUCCAGAAAUGGAACCAGCUCUCCUACCAACUCAAGGGUCUAGAUUUCCUCCCAGGACCGAGGGAUCCUAGACUCUUAAUUCGGCACCCUACACCAGCUUCACAUAAGGUCCCUGGAUCCGAGCUCCAAGCUCUGAUCUAGGCCCUCAGUUUAUCUUCUGGACCCAGGCAUCUUCCAGGCUUCCAAUUCCUGUUCAAGACUAAGGCCCAAGGAAAACUCGCAGCAAACCAAACUGGAGUCCAGACUCCACUGGGGAGGAGGCACCAGGAAUCUUCUGACCCAGGCAACCAGUCUGCUUCUCUUGAUAAGUCUGCCCUUGGUCCCGAGCCUGGAAGGCCCUUUGGGGCCAGGAGACACUGGAUCUUCCCCUCCAUUUCUGCCCAGGGUGGUGGACAGUGUCACAGACGACAGACUGACCAAGCCACUAGGGUCCUUCAUGUCCCUGCCUGAUUUCAGCCAGAGAUACUUGAGCAUCUAGGAGAGAAGAAGGCCAGGAGGAAGCUCUCUAUGGGCCUGGGUCCACACAGCCCCUGCCAAUCCCUCUGUGGGACCCACACCUCAUAGACGGCCAGGUCGGUGCAGGCAUACGGGAUGAUGCCAAGCAUGUUGGGGAGGUACCCACGGUAAAGGGCGCGGGUGCCCUCCUGCUCCAGGAUCUGCCUGGCGCAGUCCAGCAGUCCCUUGUACUGGCCGGUCUGCCGCAGGGUCAGCCGCGUCUUCAGCACCUGGGGAGGAUGAGGAGUAAGGCAGCUUAUUUAAGCUAAUCGCCUCAAUGACUCUCCAGCACAGGAGGCAACUGCUCAAGAAUGCACAUAGCUGGGUUUCAAACCCAGCUGCCUUGACCUGAGACAUAAGAGAUGCAGGUUCAAUCCCUGGGUCAGGAAGAUCUCCUGGAGAAGGAAAU